AUUGCAAUGAGGGCAAUUAGUGUGAGCUGAAAGAAGCAGACAACAAGCAGAAGUCAUAACUUGUGAAACUUUCUGGGGAUGCAAUGUAUUUAGUUAGGCCCUGUAGUACCCUGAUAUUGUGACUCAGUCCCUGAACUUUCUCAUAUAAAUCAGUUUCAUCUUUGGCCGCUAAGAAGAAAAAUCUAACAUGUGAUGUUUUCCUAUAAACUGAUCUUUUUGACCCUGCUCCAAGUAAAAGGCUUGUUUAGAAGAAAGGGUAUAUAGGUAAUUAACUGGAGAAAGUUUGCGGACUAGACGUUUGAGUGAAAAGUUGAGGGACUAAGCCACAGUAUCAGUUUGAAGAUGUAGACGAAAGAGUUUCUCUUCAUCAACAAAUACUCCCUAGCAAAGCAAGCUUUCAACAAUUCCUUCUUUGCUAUGCCAUACUUAGAAGUUGUCAAAGCAGCAGGGUGGUUCUUGCUCUUGUCAAAAGGGGUGGAGAGUUCCUCUCCCAACCUACGUCCCACGUGGAAUGACUGAAAUGCAUCUGAGAAUUCUUUGACAGGAACAAAGCGGAAGUCGGCAACGCCUUUCCUCUCAGGGCAUCUAAAGCCCAUGGAUUCAAAAAACUCAAGAACAUGUGCGCGGGGGCCUUGAUAUACAAUCUGCCCUUCUGAGAGUAGAAUUAUGUCAUCGAAAAGCUCAUAAGUCUCAGGUGCUGGCUGAAGCAAAGCUAUCAAUGCGGUCCCACCUAGGAUGUGGUUUGACUGUCUUAGUGAGUUGACUAUCUGAGAUUCCUCUCAACAUUGCAUCCCCUACCAUGGUGUCAGCACAAACAUCUAAUCCUAAAAUCUGCAGUUUAACAGGGAUGCUGCCUGCAGAAAGAGUGAAAGCAACAAAAAUGAACUUACAUCGACGUAACUGACAAUUUCAUAAUAGAUCGGGCUUGAUGUUUGCUGCCUUCUCUCUUCUUGCUAGCUCAGUCAACAUAUCUGAAUUUAUCACAUAUCAUGCUGGCUUAUAUAUGCUGAGGUUCUUUGCGGAAUAAACUCAUUCAUCAAAUGUCCAUUGUUUUGAUUCUUAUCGUGUGGUGUGAUGUGGUAAUAAGCUCGUCCACGACCUGAAAAAUGUGGCUGUGCAUGAAAAAUGUGGCCGUGCAUGUGUCCUAUCAGGGUGGUUAUAUCAUCUUCUUAAACAUAAUAGCAGACGACUCCAUGUAACAAGGGCCAUUGCACACUUUGACUUUGACGUUGACGUUGAUUUGAGAUUGCAGUUUCCUACCAGGCUUAAUUUUUCACCGACAAUUACUUAUCAAAGUGGUACAGUCCUGGAAAUGGCUCGCAUUUCCCUUUCAUUUAUUCCAAACGUCAAACGUGGAAAUUUGGUGGAUUGAUGAUGCACGGUCGUUGCAUAGCUCACCUUUGAGCUUGAAUUGAGAUUGCAAUUUCUCUACCAGGCUUAAUUUUUGCCGGCUUUUGCUUCUAGAUUGUGCGAAUUGAUGCCUCAGAGUCUUAUUAUAGCUGUUUGGGACCUUCGGGUUAAAUUAACUAAAGAAACUUCAAAAUAGGAACUUGUGAUGUAGUGUACUUCUCACGUUGGCAACUUCUGGUUCUAUUUGUAUCUGAGGCUACUUUUUGUUU
Ananas comosus (pineapple) is the source of this 1619-nucleotide long non-coding RNA. RefSeq lists it as uncharacterized. The record is from RefSeq and is a predicted model, not a curated record. NCBI's taxonomy places the organism in Eukaryota, Viridiplantae, Streptophyta, Magnoliopsida, Poales, Bromeliaceae. The transcript is spliced from 9 exons.